UCAGGGACGGCACCAAAGUUGCUGUGAAACGGAGCGAGCCAGGGUCGGGACAAGGGUUCUCUGAGUUCCAAACAGAGAUCACCGUUUUGUCCAAAAUCCGCCAUCGCCACCUCGUAUCCUUAAUUGGGUAUUGUGCUGAACGGUCCGAGAUGAUACUUGUUUACGAGUUUAUGGAGAAGGGGAGCUUAAAAGAUCACCUGUACAAUUCGGAUUUCCCAUGCUUACCUUGGAAGCAAAGGCUCCAGAUCUGCAUUGGAGCGGCCCGGGGCUUGAAUUACCUCCACAAAGGCGCAGCUGGAGGAAUUAUUCACCGGGACAUCAAGUCCACCAACAUUUUGCUUGAUGAGAAUUAUGUUGCGAAGGUUGCUGACUUUGGUCUGUCCAAGUCGGGCCCACUGGAUCAAAGCCAAACCCAUGUGAGUACAGGGGUCAAGGGCACUUUUGGGUACCUCGAUCCAGAGUACUUCAAGACCCAGCAGCUGACAGAAAAAUCAGAUGUGUACUCGUUUGGAGUGGUUCUUCUCGAGGUGCUAUGCGCAAGGCCUGCUAUAGACCCUUCGCUUCCCAGAGAGCAGGCGAACUUGGCUGAAUGGGGCAUCGCAUGCAUCCAGAACGGAAUCAUUGAGCAAAUAGUCGACCCUCUUAUUGGUGGUCAGAUUAAUUCGAACUCGCUGAGAAAAUAUGGGGAGGUUGCUGAGAAAUGCUUGCAAGAAGAGGAUGAAGAGAGACCUAGCAUGGGCGAUGUACUCUGGGACUUGGAAUACGCCUUGCAGCUUCAGCAAACAGCGGCGGAAAGAGAGAUGUGCGAUGGCAGCAUGACCGACGGUUCGUCAAUAUUGACUCUUUCAAACGUGAGGAAGCUCCCAUCAUUUAGCACAGACUUGGUCGAAGAAGAGGCCGUGGGCAAAGAAUGGGCGGAUAGUUCACAGAUGUCCAUGAGUGGAGUUUUCUCCCAGAUGAAGAUUGAGGAAGCCAGAUGAGUUUCAUUGUGCAGUACGUUUAUUUAACGUGUUUCUGAGUAGUUUUCAGAUAUGAAUUCUAUUUAUCUGAUAAAGAAGAGUGCAUGUACCAAUCGUUUUAAAUUCUAUCUUGUUGAAGCAUCUGAUAUAAUGACAAUUGUUGCUGUCGUAACGUGUAAGCAUAUAAUUAUUUAUUGUACAAGAGAGGGCAACAUUUGACCGUGAUAUAUCCAAAUGUGAUAGAUAUUGCACACCCCUUAGUUGCAGACCUUGAGUAAACACUUGUUCCACAGAUUGCGCCAUCGAUGUCCUGCUCCGUAAUUGUUUUUGCUUUUUGGUAAUGAUGCUAGAUGGGUUCUACAGCUAUGUGCUAUUAUUAGGAUACCAAAUAGUACCUAAUUCUAAUUUUUUGUUCCCAGAAUCAGUUUGGGUAUAGAAUCGCGUUUGGUAAAACUUUUGUUUCCGGGAACAAAUUUGUUCCUGGAAACAGUUUUGGACAAGAAUCGAAAAUUUAAAAAAAAAAAAAAAUGUGAUUCUUAGUCUGGAAAUUAAAAAAAUAAUCAAAACAGUGAAAGUCUUCUUCUUCCUUUCCGCCAUCCCGCGACUACCGUCCACCACCGCCCGCUGCCGUCCACCAAUCCGACGAGCUCACCGGAGGCAAGCCCAACCACCGGCGAGGCUCGCCUAACCCCACCGAUGGCCAGGCGGGCCUCGCCCAACCCCGACGAGGCCCGCCUAUCCUCUGGCCAGGCUUGGCCUCGCCUGGGUUGGGCAAGCCUCGCAACGCUCAGCCCCGCUAGUGGCCAGGCAUGCCUCUCCCAGCCCCGGCAAGGCGCGCCUGGCCACCGGCGAGGCUCACCCAGCCCCGCCAGUGGCUAGGCAAGCCUCACCCAGCCUCAGCGAGACCGGCCUGCCCACUAGCAAGGCUGGGCGAACCUCGCCCAGUUGCCAACGAGGCUCAGCCGACGAGGGCUGGCGAUACUCUGGUGAGGUCGCCGGCCACAAGAAGAAGAUGAAUAGGACAAAAAGGACAAAAAUGAAAAGGAAAAAUGAAAAAAAAAAGUAAAAAAGUAAAAAAUUUAUUUAAAAAUUAAAAGAAAUUAAUUUGGAACAAAAUCAAUUAACACGGUACCAAACGCAAUUGUAUUCCAGAAUCAGAAAUUUUGGAUAGUUACCAAACGCGUUUUUUUAUUCAAAAUCAAUUCCCGAUAACAGAAUAAAAAAUAAUCAUUUCUGGUCAGAAUCUGUUCCCGGGAACAAAAUCGUUACCAAAUGCGUCCUUAGAGAUUGCACAAGCCCUAUUGUUAUUUCCUUUGAAGGAUUUCAAUAGAUUUGAUUAGACUCGAGGUUUCAGAUUCAUUGAUAUUUCAGAGCAUGAGCUUCCUAUAUAAUUCUUGAAAACUACUUCUCCGCUGUUCUCCAUCGUUCACCAAAAAUGCUUUCCUGCUGAAUGGCUUUCGAUUCAAAUUUCAACCCGUUUGCAAUAUGAUUUUGUGCUGUCUCUGCUUUCAAGGUGGAAAAAGUGCCACUUCAUUCUUCUUUAUCACCCGGGCUGAGGUUGGUGGCAUUAGCAUUGUGAUUUUUUAUGGCCGGGUCGACAAUUUUUAUUUUAUUUUUAUCUGAUGGUGCUUCGGCUUUUCCGUUUUCUUUCGGAAAUAAUGAGCUUUGAUGUCUUGGCUGCGUUAACUCCCAUUCAGGUUAGGGGAAAAUAUUCCUCCUCCCAUCACUUGAUUUAUGCAUUUUGUAGAUGCGUAAAUUAAUCACGUCAUCUUUAUGCAAAAUAAGUAAAUUAUAUCUUAUUAUACUUUAUGAAAUUUGCUAGCAAAUGUCUUUUCUAAAAGGACUUAUAGCAAGCUUGCUUCAUUGAAUAUUGCUUUAUGGAGGAAUAACUUAGGAUUGGUGCUAGGAUACUAAGUUAUUUUUGCCCCACUAAGAUAUUUUAAAGAGAAUUUUCUUUUUGGAUGAAUAUUCUAAAGAGAAUUGAUUUAAAGGGAUCAAAACGGAGCUUGUUAGGGAUGAGUUGGCCCAUUCUUUAAACAUUUUAGUACAUCUGGGGUCAGUUCUAUCCUCCUCACAUAUGGCAAUUUGUCAUUGGUUUGUGCCCUCAUGACGGGUGGCAAUUUAUCCACCUCUGUUUAUAACACAUGGAUUGCCACAUGGCAUCAUCCUACUCAACCCUCUUAUUACAAAUAGUCCAUUCAUCUAUUUAUUUGGAAACUUUUGGCAGUUGGAUCUGGAAACUUUUGGAACUAGGAUUGCAGUUCAGACUUUGGAACUUCGCCAAAUCAUUGAAUAGCACUCCCACAAUAAGCGCACAGUAGAAAUUCUACAAUUUCCCCUUGGCNNNNNNNNNNNNNNNNNNNNNNNNNNNNNNNNNNNNNNNNNNNNNNNNNNNNNNNNNNNNNNNNNNNNNNNNNNNNNNNNNNNNNNNNNNNNNNNNNNNNNNNNNNNNNNNNNNNNNNNNNNNNNNNNNNNNNNNNNNNNNNNNNNNNNNNNNNNNNNNNNNNNNNNNNNNNNNNNNNNNNNNNNNNNNNNNNNNNNNNNNNNNNNNNNNNNNNNNNNNNNNNNNNNNNNNNNNNNNNNNNNNNNNNNNNNNNNNNNNNNNNNNNNNNNNNNNNNNNNNNNNNNNNNNNNNNNNNNNNNNNNNNNNNNNNNNNNNNNNNNNNNNNNNNNNNNNNNNNNNNNNNNNNNNNNNNNNNNNNNNNNNNNNNNNNNNNNNNNNNNNNNNNNNNNNNNNNNNNGUUUGUUUCACGGAAAACUUAAUGAUAAAAGAAAAUGCUUUCCGAGAAAGCAUUUUCCAAGAAUAUGGUUUGUUUUCCUUUGUUUGAUGAUGUAAUUGAAAAUGUUUUCUGCCGUUCAAAUCCCAUUAAAAAAUAAUUUCACACUUCAUUGCAGGAAAAAAAUGAAUUUUUAAUUUAAAAAACUUCAAAUUUUUAAUAUUGUGUUUAUAUUUACUUUUAUUUUCUAUUUUUUAUUUUCUUUCUUUUUAUUUCCUUUUUUUCUUUUUCUUUUUCUCUUUUUCCUUCUUCUUGUCCUUCACUCCUCAGCUUCCUCACACCAUCCCUUCUGCUUCCUCUAGCAGUUCGUUCCUGGCUAGCUUACAAGGGGUGAGCUCCAGCUAUUGCAGGAGGCGGCAAGAUCGCCAGUUGGCCACUAGAGGCUGCGAGCUUACCCAAUCUGGCGAGGCUUGAGCCUCAUCGCUAGAGGCCACGAGCUCACCCAAUUUAGUGAGGGUUGAAGCUCAUCAGCCUCAGGCAAGCUCAAGCCUUGUUGUCGAAGGCCAUGAGAUCGCUCGAUCUGGUGAGACCAGAGCUCACUAGCUACUAUCCUUGUGGCCGGUGACAAGUGAAGAAGAAGCAAAAUGAAAAAGGAAGAAAAGAAAAAGAAAAGAAGCAAAUUCGAUUUAUUUUUUAAAAAUGUUUUCCAAAUUUUCAUUUAAAAAAAAUAAAAAAAUUCAAAUUCAAUUUUUUAAAAAGAUAUUUUUAUAAGAAUAAUUUUUUGUAAACCAAGCAUCAAAUCUAAGCUUUAGUAGAUUCAGAAAACGUUUUCUGGUCAUUUCAAAGGGGAAAUCAUUUUCCUGAAUUUAAGUUUUGCUAGAAAAACAUUUUCUGUUGACUAGGAAAACAUUUUCUGUUGACUCAUUUCCUGAGUGACCCAAACGCCGGAAAAUAAGGAAAAUGUUUUCCCUGAAAAUGUAUUCCGCGAAACAAACACACCCUUAGUCGGAGUUUUGGGUUGUCAUCAUGAUGGUCAACGAUUUGAUGAUGACCAACGAUUUGCUAGCAAUACUAUGACAUUAAUGUCGACAAAUGAGGAGAAUUAACAUAAAAGUCUUAAACCUAUUGUAAUUGUAUCAAUUUAGUCAUUAAUUUUUUUUACCAAUUUAAUCCUAAAUAUUUUGCAAUUGUAUUAAUUCAGUUUACUUGAUCAAUUUAGCCAGCUGGCACUAAUCUAACGUCGGCCGGCACCGACAUGAAAAAUAUUUGAUAAUAUUUUAUUAUUUUUAAAUUCUUUUAUCAAUUUUUUUCUUUUUUCUUUUUUUUUUCCUUCUUUACUUCUUUUCCCCAUAGUGGCUGGCAAGCCUCCCACAAGAGGCACUAGCCAUUGGGUGAGGGUUGUGAAGCUCUCGUUAGCUGCUAGCAACGUGGCCCUCCCUCGGCCUUACCUAGGCAAGGGCCAUGACCCUCACCAAAGGAAAAGAAGCAAAGAAGGAAGAAAAGAAAAAACAAAAAAUAAUNNNNNNNNNNNNNNNNNNNNNNNNNNNNNNNNNNNNNNNNNNNNNNNNNNNNNNNNNNNNNNNNNNNNNNNNNNNNNNNNNNNNNNNNNNNNNNNNNNNNNNNNNNNNNNNNNNNNNNNNNNNNNNNNNNNNNNNNNNNNNNNNNNNNNNNNNNNNNNNNNNNNNNNNNNNNNNNNNNNNNNNNNNNNNNNNNNNNNNNNNNNNNNNNNNNNNNNNNNNNNNNNNNNNNNNNNNNNNNNNNNNNNNNNNNNNNNNNNNNNNNNNNNNNNNNNNNNNNNNNNNNNNNNNNNNNNNNNNNNNNNNNNNNNNNNNNNNNNNNNNNNNNNNNNNNNNNNNCCCUGUGUAUAGUGAUGAGCACGAGCCGAUACCAAUGCAUCAUGAAAUAACAUAUUAUUUGCUGCUUAUGAGUGAAUGAACUUACAUGAUAGUUACUAGUUUUUAUUGGCAUAUCAUGAUUGAAAAAGAAAGAGAACUUACUCAUGCAUGAUUAUUUUGUAUUGCCUUUAAACUCACAUUAUUUGAUUGGUGCUAGAUUAUGCAUAUCUCCUACCUUAGACCCAAGAAUUUUAUACCGGUUUUUAGCUCACCCCUCAUUUCUCAGUGUGUAGGAUGACCCCUUUGAACAUGAUUGUGGGUGCGAUGUGGAUGCCUAAGACCAUCAACCUCAAGUUAGAUGGUGGCCCGCUUGUGGAAUAGUAGGAGAGUAGUGAUAUUAGUCAACCGACCAUUUUCCCAGGACUAUAUAUUUUGUUGUGAUGAUAACUACUAAUGUUUGUAUGAAGAAAAAGCAUAUAGAUAUGUAUUAAACUAGUGCGACUUUCUUUUAUGGAAUGUUAUUAUGUAUUUUGCAGUACUCCUGCAUGCUAUUAAUCAAAGAAAAAAUCUACACAUAUAGUGCGUGACGUACCUAGGUUGUCACAAGGAGCUCAUGGCUGUCAAUAAUAUUUACAAGAUUACGUCAUUUGUGGUUGUCACAACCCGACCUUGAUGCCCCUAGUUUUAGGGAUGCGGUAUAAAGAUAGAAUUUAGAGGUACUUGAUUGUGAGAACUCCCUCACCAUAUACUACUCCAAGAGAUGUCAUCAUCUCAUUUUUUGAGACCAACCACAUGAGUUUGCUUACGGUCUUAAGCUCUCAUAAGCUCACAUCUUGCAUGACAACGGAAUUUAUUUAAAGUUGUUUCAAACAACCUAAAAUUUGGAUUCUAGGAGUCGCCACUAGCAUCUUUUUUGGGGGUCGACUAGAAUACCCAAUCAAGGGUUAGGAGUAGUCCUUCGAUUUCUAUGCAACCAAAGAUCAAAGGCUUGAGGAUUUGUGUUACGUUAACAUUUUUAUUAACGCCCUUUCAACACCCAAUAGGUGUGCUUUAUUACUUAACAUGUCCUUACAUUUCUUUUUACAUUUUUGUUCGUUCCAUUCUAUUCUAAUCUAACUAGAAUAAUAAAGGAGACAAUCAAUUAAUUGAAGAGACAUCACGGAAAGUAAACACCCAAGACAGUUUUAAAGAUGAUAUAAGGAAACAAGUCUAAAAAAGACAAUAAAAGAAAAACUCGCAACUCGUUGGACCUUUAUACAACACAAAAGGAGCCCGAGACAUUUGUUCGGAAAUGAAUAUUACAAUUUGAAAAGGUCAAAUUGGACAUCGAUCAUUCGCCAUCUUCAAAUCUUUGAGACCGCCACCUCCAAAGGAUGCCUUUCAAACUUAUUCUAAUCCUAGGCCAAUACUAAACUAGAGCAUAUAAUUACAAGACAUGCGUCACACAAGCAAUGACAAAUGCAUAGAUCAAACAAACGCAAGCAAUACAAAGCAUCAAACAAAUGCACUCCACUUGUCAAGCAUGGCAUUAGAGUUGGCCUUUGAAAUUCAUGCAAUGCCCUCAUUAAGACACCUACCCCAUUCAUUUUAAGUGACCCACAAUCAUUAGCCAUUGCUUGCGUUCACAAGAAGUGACCAAUGCUAUGAAAUCCCUAAGUCGGGUUCUAAGUGACAUCUCAAAGUAAUCCACAUGAUCAUGCAUCGCACCUAGGCCAUUCAUCUAGAAAUCACACACAAAGUAGCAGCAUGCACUUAGGCCAUAAAGCCUUAGCUCUCAAUCAAUCAACCAAUUUAGUAAUAAUGGAUCAAUUAUUCAAUCAUGCACAGCAAUGAAUAUAAUCACACAAUGCAUAACCAUGACGAGCAAAGGCAGUCAAAAUCCAAUUCAUGUGAUGCCAAAAAAUGAUUCAUAUUCAAUUUGCAAGCAAGGGCUUAAUUUAGAUGAAAUUGCAAAGGGAGACCUCAACUUCACAUAUCGACAAACAAGUCCUAAUGAAAGGAAAUUUCCAAAUUUCAAUUGUUUAGAAAACAUGUAUAUCAAUUUAUAAGAAUUUGAACAUGUUAGAUGUUUUCUGGAAAUAAAUCCAAAGUCUGAGUGCGAAUAAUGUCGGUACACUAAUCAGACUUCAUGAACCAUCUAACAAACGUCAAAUCUUAACAAAAUGGCUUUAAUUUUUAUUUUUUUUUGAAAGAUAUGACAGUUUUAUAGAAUUUGAAUGAGUUUGAUGUUAUUGGGAAAUAUAUCUAGAACCCAGGUGCAGAUAAUUUUAACACAUUUAUCGAACUCCUUGAACCAUCAAAUGAUCAUUCAAUCCGAUAAAAUUGACAUCAAAACAAUAUUUGAGAAAUGCCAAACAACUUUGUUGAAGAAAUUUUUGCAAUAUGGGCAUCACAUGAACUUAUAAAGAUCUCAAUUUAAACAGUUCAGGAAAUCAAAUUUCCAUAAUGCACUAUUACUUUGAGAGGGUUGGUAAAAAUACCAAAACAUGUUUUUAUUUUCUGAACAUUAAUGACAAUUAAGUUCAAUAUGUGACAAACAAUUAUCAAGGGGACAUCGAAGUCUAAUUCAGCUUGCUUGAUUUUCUAAAAAUCACACAUGUAUGUCAAUCAGCCAAAUCAACAAUCUUCGAAACAAGGUAACCAACUCUAUUUAACAGAAGCAGGAUCAAUCGUCAUCUCGACCUAGAAUUUUUAUGGAAAGUAAACCAACGUGUGAGAGCAACUUUUAUGUGGGAAGCAUCUCAAUUCCUAACACGCGAAUUUCUAAAAAUCUAAGAGCACAAACAGGUCAGUCAGGAAUAGAACAGGGCAAUAUGAGUGAGAAUGUUCUAUAGCCAAUCGACCCUAUCCAUUGGUAUUCAAAAAUUUUCAAAUUUUAUAUGUUAUAACAUGAAUUUCAUGGACAAAUUUUAUCCGGACUCAACCACAAAACAGCACCCAAAAAUCACACAAAAUUGGCAAAUAGUCAGGCCCAUAGAAGCACAGCAAGCAUUUCAAUUCAAUGCAAGUUCCAGAUUGUAACUCGAAUUGGGAAAAAUUGUAAACACAGCAAAUGAUCUUAAAAUCAUGCAAACCAGACAUGAAAAGAAAGCUUAAGAUGUCUACUACAAAUUUCUAGAAGGUGACAAGUUCAAUUAAUGUCGUUUUUCAGCUCAAACGAAGAUAUCUAGCAAACAGGUCUAAAACAGAGUUUACAUAUUUAUGCAUGAAUAACAUGAUUUUAAUAUAGCUAAACGGUUUGCAAAUCCUAUGAAAUUUUUAUAUUAAUUAAAACUAAAUGUCAAGAUCAAAGUUCAUGAAGACACUCAGUCCAAAAUCAUAGUACAAAAAAUAUACAAAAAUGACAAACCGAGCAGGUCAGUCAGCCUCAAAAACAUAUGCGGUAAAUAGCAUAUUGCAGAUUUUAUCACUAAUUUUGAAUAGGUUUUGGCAUAGCAAAUGACGUCAAACUCAUGCAUGGAAUAUAUCGUUUAAAAGGUCGUGAAGUCAUGCAAGAAUCUCAUGCAGAAGUCUAAGCCUAAAAACGACAUCAUCUAGCUUAAAUGAAGACGUUUAUCAGGUCGGUUUAAUAAGUAUACGAUUUUCACAGAGCCAGCAAUCAAGAUCAAUCAAGCAACUGAAUUAUCAUCAAUCACCACAACCUCUCACAGCAACUUUUAUGGCAUCUAAAAUUUAGAUUUAAGCAUGACCAAUCAUCCUAGGUUCGAGUGCCAGCCCCGAUUGCGUAAGGCAAUCUCGCUUCAUGGAGCUUAAGUUCGAGAAUAUAUUAUGCCUUGUGUAUUUUGCGAAAUGAGCUCUAACGAGCUAGGAUCGAACUUCGUCGGGACUUAGGACACGUCGAGAGGGAUCUAUGUAGGGGAGAUAAGGACCAUCAGAAUGGCUCAGGAAUGAUCCGAUGAGCACCGAGUGGUAGCUAGAGCUAGGAUUGGUGCCGGACGAACACCUAGGACUGCCGGAAGGAGAUCGCUAGAAUGGAGGGGUUUUGAUGGCUGUUAGGCUAAACUCCAAUCACCCGAAUGUUGAGAACUCACCAAAGGAUGUCAAUGGACAGGUCAGGAUAGCUAAAAGAGUGGCAGACCACCUGGAACAGCUGCGGAACCGCCGAACAAAAUUACCGGCACCAGAGCCAGUCUUCGAGCCGAUCGGAAAAGAGGAGCUAGACAGAAGGCUCCAAUGCGAUUUGAGGCAGCGGAUGGUGACGGUGAGACUCACGAGAAGGUGGUGGUGAUCAGAGGUGCAGGCGCGUCGCCGAUAGGGGCUUAUUGGCACGGCAAAGAGGGAGGCCAAGAGAGGGCGAUUGGGGGAGGGGGAGAGAGAGAAUCUGAAAAUGAAAGAGUCCCUCAAUUUUGGAGGGAAAAUGGGCUUUAUAGCUCCUUGUAAGAUCAUAUCCUAGCUCUUGGAUCGAUUUAGGAUUAGGAUCUUAUCUUCCUAGUUUAACCAACUUACAUUAUAGCCAUUAAGCUUGCUUACGAUUGGUCAAUAAUAUGCACAUGUCAAUUUGAAUAUCUAAGACGAACUCUCAAUGGAUAGUCAUGAUCAAUUUUGGGAUUAAAGGCUAAUCAGGGGCAUUUUUGUAAUUUCACAAAUCUAACGGCAAUUUUGUAAUUUCACUAGGGGCAAACUUGUAAUUUCAUGCAACGGGGUGAGCGAAGAUCAACUAGACCUUGGGCUUGCCGGUGAUGGCGGCUGGCCACCGAAGGUUCAUCGGAAAAUGGCUAGCUUGGCCGUUUUCCUACAAAGGCCAACCAAGUCGAUCGCACCGGUCCAAAUUGACUUCGACCUGUCCAAACCGACUUCGACCGGUCCAAUCGAUUCUUGGUCUUUUCUUGUGCAACUUAGUCUAGGGACUUAAUUGCAAAGAAUCUUUGUUCAAUUAGGAGAAGAAAUGAGCUAGUUUGAAAAGAAAUUAUCCAAUUUCAAUGAAAUUAAACCAAUUAAAUCUUGUAAAAGCAUCUCAAUUAGUUCCAAUUGGUUUAAUCACCUUUAUAACAUUGGAAAUCAUGAAUAUACUCAAUGGGUGUACGAAAUUAGAAUUUCUAUUCCAAUUAGCGCAAUUUGUGCAAUUUUCUAUCUCAAAACGCAAAUCGAUUGAAAUUGAAUCCAAUUAAUAUAACGAGAUAUCAAUUAGUUCGAUUACACACAUUCAUGAUGGUUGUUGCAUCCAAAUUGACACUAAAAUGAAGGUACGACCUUUAUGCCAAAAUUAAAUUGAGGGCUAAUGUUGAAAUUAAACCUCAAUCUAUCAAAUUAAACUUUAUUUUUAAAAUGGAUCAACUUGAAUUGCACUAAUUGAAGCUUAUUAGCUUAGAUUUCUUAAGUUCGACUAAGCUAAACCCAUCAAAUUAGAGAUUUCCCAAGUGGCUUUGCCAAAAUUGAUCAUGGAUUUGGAUUCAAUUUUAAAAAAUGAGUUGAAUGGAAAUACUGGCACACAAUCCGAGAAAAUCGAUUCAGACCCUCGAUUAAGGCUAAAAAGGGCAAAUUUUAUCCCAACAUGCUAAAUCAUUGAAAUGAUCACGAGAGUGAUUUCAAAAUAGCCUCUAGAUUAAAUAUCGUAAAUGAAACUAAGCCAAAAUAUGAAUAAAAUGAAAGUACUUUUAUUUUUUGUUGAUUUGGAACUUAAAAUAAUAAUAAAAAAUAGAAAGAUGAGGUUAUUAAUUGAUUUUCAUAGAAUUUUCAAUGUCAAAGUUAAAUCAAAGCUAAAAUAAGAUGAAUUGUGAGUUUUUGUAUUUUUCAAUUUUUUUUUUUUUGUAAAGAGUUUAUCAAAAGUCAACAUUUUCAUUAAAUUUGUGAUUUUAUAAUCAAAACUUUUAAUUUUUUUUCAAAAUUUUUGUUGCCAAAGUGAUGUUAAGACUAAUUGGGAUCUUUUUGUGCAAAAAAAGCUAAAUUUUAACUUGAAAUUGAUUUUUUAUCAAAGGGUUGACUAAAACGUCAAUUUAAAAGUUAACUCUUUGACUUUUUGGGUGUUCAUUAUAAAUGAAUAAGAAAUUGUUCACAAAUGGCUGGUCAAAGAAAAUAAAACUAAAAAUGACACUUUUGACUCGAGAAAUAUACUCUGUCACGAUCAAAAACCCUAAUCUCACAUUUUUAACUUUGAUGACGCGUUGGUUAAAAGUUAAGUGUUAAUAAUGGUCCUUUUACUUUUGACCAAAAUUAAUAACUAUAACUCUACUUUUUUAUUCUUAUUCAAAAUUGUUCUUGUACUUCUUAGUUUGUUCCACGCUAGUUCUCCUCAAAUAUCUUCUUUUGCGGUCAACCUUUGUUGAUGGGGGUCGCUAGAUUUAUAAUAAGAAUUAAUUGAGAGAGAGACCAUGAAGAAGACAUAUUGCAAAAGAUUUGUUGAUGAAAGGAGUGAGGUUAAUCCGUGACAAGUGUUUUCACCGACUCCUACUCAAAGCCCGCGGCUUGUGGUCGCUCAAGCCUGAGGCCUGGGGUCACCGUUGCCAUGGCUAGUCAACCUUUGGUCUCACGGCCAUGCAAGAGCUCAAGUGGCCGAUUGCCAUGGCCACUAUCUAAAGCCAGCUGAUCUCAAGCUCAUGGUCGUAACCACUGCUCAAGCUUUUGAGUUGUGGUCAUGGUCGCUACGGGUCGUCAUGAGAGAAUACUUACAAAUUACAUUGUUAUGAGAUGUUAUUAUUGGAGCUAGCAAGUAGCGCCUUAAAGGAGGUGAAUAGGUGAUUCUAGCAAAUCUAUCCAAUUUAUCUAUUGGACAGUCUCCAAAAGAUUAUCUUUCAAUCCGUCCAUUGGACACACGUAUAUCAAGAAAAUUGAGUAGCCAUUUAGUGACAAAAUAUGAAUCUUCAUUGAUUCUAGUCACACAUACAAUCAAAGUCUUGGUUUUCAAAAAGGGAUAAAUGCUACAGAAGUCCUAAAACUUGUCACAAAAAUGCAAUUGCGUCCUAAAACUUGCAAAAAGUGCAAUUAAGUCCAAGAACUUGUCAAAUUGUUUCAAUCAAGUCAUAAAGUUAACACUGUUAAGAAAACUUAUUUUUGAAAAUUGUUAAAAAAAAAGAAAAAAAAAAAGAUAAAGCAGCUCCUCCCUUGUUGCCGCCGUCGCCACCAAUCGCUGGAGGGGCCGACGACCCUCGCUAAGCUCAAGCAAGUGUGCCCAGAUCUAGGCACCCUCUCCCGAGCUUGGCAAGGGUCACCGGCCCUCGCCUGGGGCCGGACGAGGGCCGACCGUCGUUGGCCCCUCCAGCAAUCGGUGGCAACAGCAGCGGCGGCAGCAGGGGAGGAGUUGCUGCUGCUGCUUUAUCUUCUUCUUUUUUUUAACAAUUUUCAAAGAUAAAAUUUCUUUUCUUUUUAGUAUUUAAACUAUUUAAAAAAAUUGAAUAAAAAAUAAUUUAAAAAAAAACCACAUGGAAAAUAAAAUAUUAUUUAAAAUGCCACGUCAGCAUUUUUCCAUUAAAAAUGUUAAGGACUCAAUUGAAACAAUUGACAAGUUUUAGGACUUGAUUGUACUUUUUGCAAGUUUUAGGACUCAAUUGCGUUUUCAUGAUAAGUUUUAGGACUUCUGCAACACUUAUUUCUUUCAAAAAUAGAUGUCUCCAUUAAAAAAAAAACUUGUAUUCAAGUUUGAUUGCCACUUAAUUAAAGUGUUUUACAUUACAACAUUGGUUUGCAAAACAAUCUUUAUGAUUAAGAGUCAAUCAAGUUUUUUUAAGUGUAAAUCUGAGCUAGAUCACUAGCCAUAAUAUAUGUUCCGAACUUGUGUAUGAAAUGGAACACUAGUUCUCCAAGUCCAAAUAUGUUUCGCUUGAAGUAAAUUACACAAUCUAAUGAUAUUCGGCUUAUAAUCUUUGAGUUUGAAUACGUUUUAUGAUAUCCACACAAAAUCUUGAUAAUAUCCACUAACUAGCUUAUUAAAUUCAAAAUAACUUAGACUUAAGUCUGAACAGGAUCGAGAUUGUUAUAGACUUCUCUUUCAAGAGAUUUCCCUAAAUCAAGAAUACUUCAAGACAUUUAUAUGGAUAGUUUUGUCAACUUGAAAAUUCAUUAGGAAGUUUUCUCAAUAGUUAUUUGUAGUCUUUUAUUGGAUUUGAAUAACAAAAAUCAAGGUUAGAACAUUUUCAACAAUGUUGGUGUCAAGUGAACAAAAUCCAUUGCCAAGUCGAUCAAGGAGGAAUAGUAACACUUUUUUUUUAAAAAAAAUAAUAAUAAUAAUGGAGGGAUGCUUUUAAAUAAAAUAGAAAAAGCCAAGGACGAUUUGAAUUUCGGACAAAAGCGAGGCGUCACCGAUUUAUCUAAUAUUUUCAGCACAGAAUCAACGUUGACUUCCGUGCGACCAUCUCCACCGGCUGCUACUCACGAAAAGUUGAGCGAAGGGACAUCCAUCUUUAACUUUCCAUGUCGUGUGCUCGUGCCCCAUUCGCGGUUGAGUUGGAUGAUAAGGGCCAAAUCGUCCUCAGCAUCUUGACUAAAACAGUGCUCCGUUUGGGAGUCAAAAGGGUCUUUGCGGAAGCAAAUUCGUCCCCUCCCCAAAUGGGCCACUCAUCUCCAGCUAAGAAUCUUCUUCAUGCCCAUCUUCCUAUGCCUGAUAGUCAAUCUCAAGUCAAUACGACUGAAACUACUUGAUCACAAUUCACGGGCCAAUCACUAGCUGUCUUUCUUCCGAAGCAGAGUUUCAUGCUCUUCCUCUGGUUCGAUGGCAAAGCUUCACAUCAUCCAUGGAGUCCACGCCCCUGGCUUCAUUCUCUUCUUCGUCUCUCUUCAGUACCCACUUCUUCUUCUCACUCUUUCCUCAGCCUACACAACUCAGACCAGUUACUUCAUCAAUUGUGGAUCAAGCAAAAGCCAGAACUAUUCCAACAGGGUCUUUGUUGGUGACACGGGUUCUGACUCCAUCUCCUUCACAAAACAGAGUACCUCCGCCCAAUCCAGCAGCCAAUUCUCGAGCGUCUCACCUAUCUACGACACGGCAAGAAUCUUCAGAAACCCUUCGUCGCAAUACGUUCUUGAUGUAAUCGACAAAGGUACUCACAUCGUGCGACUCCACUUUUUCCCUUUCGCUUCCACAAGAAAUCUCUCUGAGGCUGUGUUCAAUGUCUCAGUAAAGGGGCUCACCCUUCUCAGCAAUUUCCAAACACCCAGUAGAACCAACUCUCCUAUAGUGGAGGAGUUCUUGCUUAGCAUAAAUAGGAAUAAGUUUGUACUUUAUUUUAGUCUUCAAGGGUCAUCCUUCGCAUUUAUAAAUGCCCUCGAAGUGUUCCUUGUGCCCGAUGGAGUCGUUCCCGAUUCUGCUCCAAGGGUGGGCAUUUCAGGGAAAAGUAGCAGCAACUACAGUGGAAUUCCUUCCCAAGUCUUACGAACGGUUUACCGAAUAAAUGUUGGGGGCGAUGGAGUAACUCCGGUUUAUGAUAGCUUUUGGAGAAGUUGGGAUCCUGAUGAUAAUUACACUUAUCUCCCAAAUGCUGCAAAAAAUACGACUAUGUACGGAGUAAACUAAUUACCAUUAUGGUCUAGACGGAUACUUAGCAUCGGAACACGUUUACCGCUCUGCUAAGAUGAUGGACGAAUCUGCUUGGGGAUUAUACCCCAACACCACCUGGGGUUUUAACGUGAGUGCGAACGCCUCGCACUUGGUCCGGGCUCAUUUCUGCGAUAUCAUUAGCCCGUCUCCCAACACAGUGUACUUUAAUCUCUACAUUUAUGAGAAUUUCACUGAGUACAUUGGUAAAAAUGGGAUUCAAAAUCCUUUAACUCCUUUUCAUUAUGAUUAUGUGGUUCAGCCUGGCAGCUCAGGGCUAGUGAACAUCAGCAUAGGCCUCCUUAGUGCCUCAGAGACAACGUCUCAGCAGGCCUAUCUCAAUGGCCUGGAGAUAAUGGAGAUAAUUGGGUCGUGGGACUCACAUUUUGUGCCAUCAGGGGGCGAUAACCAGAAUAAGCACAUCGGCCUCAUAAUUGGUCUAGUUUCCGGAAGCAUCGUGUUUCUCUGCAUAUUUGUAUCUGCAGCGAUCUUCAUACGCAAGCAUAGAAAGCCAAAGAGAACUGAAAUUUCGGUCUGGUCACCAUUGCCUGCACUCGGAAGAGGCAAUUCUUACUGUAAACUGACCGAGCAAAGUACCCAUGGCUCCAUCGUCCCUAAUUUUCACCUGGGACUGAAAAUACCCCUCCCCGAAAUCCAUUUCGCUACCAACAACUUCGAUCCCAAACUUUUGAUCGGCAAGGGUGGAUUUGGCAAUGUUUACAGAGGAACUCUCAGGGAUGGCACUAAAGUUGCCGUGAAACGGAGCGAGCUGGGGUUGGGACAAGGCUUCCUCGAGUUCCAAACAGAGAUCACCAUUUUGUCCAAAAUCCGCCAUUGCCACCUCGUCUCCUUAAUUGGGUAUUGUGCUGAACAGUCUGAGAUGAUACUUGUUUUUGAGUUUAUGGAGAAGGGGAGCUUAAGAGAUCACCUGUACAAUUCCGAUUUCCCAUACUUACCAUGGAAGCAAAGGCUCGAGAUCUGUAUUGGAGCUGCCCAGGGAUUGGACUACCUCCACAGAGGCGCGGCUGGAGGAAUUAUUCAUCGGGACAUCAAGUCCACC
This 16034-nucleotide long non-coding RNA is filed under the name Eucalyptus grandis. RNAcentral's name for it is "long non-coding RNA (EGRA_LNC005534)". Lineage: Eukaryota; Viridiplantae; Streptophyta; Magnoliopsida; Myrtales; Myrtaceae. The record is from RNAcentral.